RNAcentral lists this transfer RNA (73 nucleotides) under Spirochaetota bacterium. RNAcentral's name for it is "Spirochaetes bacterium tRNA-Gln". It matches the Rfam family "tRNA". Rfam says of the family: Transfer RNA (tRNA) molecules are approximately 80 nucleotides in length. Their secondary structure includes four short double-helical elements and three loops (D, anti-codon, and T loops). The record is from RNAcentral. Lineage: Bacteria; Pseudomonadati; Spirochaetota.
UAAGAUAUAGCUCACUUGGAAGAGCACCUGCAUUUGGAGCAGGAGGUUGGUGGUUCAAUUCCGCCUAUCUCUA